RNAcentral lists this ribosomal RNA (500 nucleotides) under uncultured bacterium. RNAcentral's name for it is "partial 16S ribosomal RNA". It matches the Rfam family "Bacterial small subunit ribosomal RNA", at positions 30 to 523 of the family's 1533-position model. The record is from RNAcentral.
AUUGAACGCUGGCGGCAUGCCUUACACAUGCAAGUCGAACGGAUCAGAGGAGCUUGCUCUUCUGGUUAGUGGCGAACGGGUGAGUAAUGCAUCGGAACGUACCCAGUAGUGGGGGAUAACGUAGCGAAAGUUACGCUAAUACCGCAUACGACCUGAGGGUGAAAGCAGGGGCUCGCAAGACCUUGCGCUAUGGGAUCGGCCGAGGUCGGAUUAGCUAGUUGGUAGGGUAAAAGCCUACCAGGGCGACGAUCCGUAGCUGGUCUGAGAGGACGACCAGCCACACUGGGACUGAGACACGGCCCAGACUCCUACGGGAGGCAGCAGUGGGGAAUUUUGGACAAUGGGGGAAACCCUGAUCCAGCCAUGCCGCGUGAGUGAAGAAGGCCUUCGGGUUGUAAAGCUCUUUCAGACGGAAAGAAAUCUUCCGGGCUAAUACCUCGGGAGGAUGACGGUACCGUAAGAAGAAGCACCGGCUAACUACGUGCCAGCAGCCGCGGUAA